Molecule: ribosomal RNA, 91 nt
Filed under: Platybelone argalus platyura (keeled needlefish)
Lineage: Eukaryota; Metazoa; Chordata; Actinopteri; Beloniformes; Belonidae
Description: partial 16S rRNA
Source: RNAcentral
CGCCCAACAGCUAGCCCACCCCCUAAAACCAACAAACCCAUAUCUCUACCCAUUAAUAUACACACAAAAAUAAAACAAACCAUUUUUCCUU